This 435-nucleotide ribosomal RNA is filed under the name uncultured bacterium. RNAcentral describes it as "bacterial SSU rRNA". It matches the Rfam family "Bacterial small subunit ribosomal RNA", at positions 355 to 786 of the family's 1533-position model. The record is from RNAcentral.
UGAGGAAUAUUGGUCAAUGGACGAGAGUCUGAACCAGCCAAGUAGCGUGAAGGAUGACUGCCCUAUGGGUUGUAAACUUCUUUUAUAUGGGAAUAAAGUUCAGUGUGUAUACUGUUUUGUAUGUACCAUAUGAAUAAGGAUCGGCUAACUCCGUGCCAGCAGCCGCGGUAAUACGGAGGAUCCGAGCGUUAUCCGGAUUUAUUGGGUUUAAAGGGAGCGUAGGUGGAAGCUUAAGUCAGUUGUGAAAGUUUGCGGCUUAACCGUAAAAUUGCAGUUGAUACUGGGUUUCUUGAGUGCAGCAGAGGUAGGCGGAAUUCGUGGUGUAGCGGUGAAAUGCUUAGAUAUCACGAAGAACUCCGAUUGCGAAGGCAGCUUACUGGACUGUAACUGACGCUGAUGCUCGAAAGUGUGGGGUAUCAAACAGGAUUAGAUACC